UACGUAGGGGGCGAGCGUUGCCCGGAUUUAUUGGGCGUAAAGAGCUUGUAGGUGGUUUGUCGCGUCUGCUGUGAAAACCCGAGGCUCAACCUCGGACUUGCAGUGGGUACGGGGCAGACUAGAGUGUGGUAGGGGAGACUGGAAUUCCUGGUGUAGCGGUGGAAUGCGCAGAUAUCAGGAGGAACACCGAUGGCGAAGGCAGGUCUCUGGGCCAAUUACUGACACU
RNAcentral lists this ribosomal RNA (226 nucleotides) under uncultured bacterium. RNAcentral describes it as "partial 16S ribosomal RNA". It matches the Rfam family "Bacterial small subunit ribosomal RNA", at positions 524 to 747 of the family's 1533-position model. The record is from RNAcentral.